AUUAGAGGAGUAUAGUCGUANCACGUUUCCGUAGGUGAACCUGCGUAAGGAUCAUUAUCGAGUUUUGAAACGGGUUGUAGCUGGCCUUUCACAAGGCAUGUGCACGCUCGGCUCAUUCCACUCUUCAACCUCUGUGCACUCUUUGUAAGAAAUGACCGGGACGCUGGCGCAAGUCAGUUGAAAAGUCUUUCUUAUGUUUUAUUACACACGCUUCAGUUAUAGAAUGUUUACUUGCGAUAACGCAUUUAUAUACAACUUUCAGCAACGGAUCUCUUGGCUCUCGCAUCGAUGAAGAACGCAGCGAAAUGCGAUAAGUAAUGUGAAUUGCAGAAUUCAGUGAAUCAUCGAAUCUUUGAACGCACCUUGCGCUCCUUGGUAUUCCGAGGAGCAUGCCUGUUUGAGUAUCAUGGAAUUCUCAACUCCCAAAUUUUUUUAAUCGAAAGUUUGGUGAGCUUGGACUUGGAGGUCGUGUCGGCUCCUUCGGGAGUGGACUCCUCUGAAAUGUAUUAGUGUGAAUCUUACUGAUCGCCUUCAGUGUGAUAAUUGUCUACGCUGUGGUCGAGAAGUAUUUUUAUAUUCAUGCUUACAACCGUCUCUUGACUGAGACAAUUUUUUAUGACUUCUGAUCUCAAAUCAGGUAGGACUACCCGCUGAACUUAAGCAUAUCAAUAAGCGGAGGAAAAGAAACUAACAAGGAUUCCCCUAGUAACGGCGAGUGAAGCGGGAAGAGCUCAAAUUUAAAAUCUGGCGGUCUUUGGCCGUCCGAGUUGUAUUCUAGAGAAGUGUUUUCCGCGCUGGACCGUGUACAAGUCUCUUGGAACAGAGCGUCAUAGAGGGUGAGAAUCCCGUCUUUGACACGGACUACCAGUGCUUUGUGAUGCGCUCUCAAAGAGUCGAGUUGUUUGGGAAUGCAGCUCAAAAUGGGUGGUAAAUUCCAUCUAAAGCUAAAUAUUGGCGAGAGACCGAUAGCGAACAAGUACCGUGAGGGAAAGAUGAAAAGCACUUUGGAAAGAGAGUUAAACAGUACGUGAAAUUGCUGAAAGGGAAACGCUUGAAGUCAGUCGCGUUAGCUAGAACUCAGCCUUGCUUUUGCCUGGUGCAUUUUCUAGUUGACGGGCCAGCAUCAGUUUUGAUCGCAGGAUAAAGGUCAGAGGAAUGUGGCACCUUCGGGUGUGUUAUAGCCUUUGAUUGUAUACUGUGGUUGGGACUGAGGAUCACAGCACGCCUUUAUGGCCGGGGUUCGCCCACGUUCGUGCUUAGGAUGCUGGCGUAAUGGCUUUAAACGACCCGUCUUGAAACACGGACCAAGGAGUCUAACAUACCUGCGAGUAUUUGGGUGGUAAACCCGAGUGCGUAAUGAAAGUGAAAGUUGGGAUCCCUGUCGUGGGGAGCACCGACGCCCGGACCAGACCUUCUGUGACGGCUCCGCGGUAGAGCAUGUAUGCUGGGACCCGAAAGAUGGUGAACUAUGCCUGAAUAGGGUGAAGCCAGAGGAAACUCUGGUGGAGGCUCGUAGCGAUUCUGACGUGCAAAUCGAUCGUCAAAUUUGGGUAUAGGGGCGAAAGACUAAUCGAACCAUCUAGUAGCUGGUUCCUGCCGAAGUUUCCCUCAGGAUAGCAGAAACUCGUAUCAGAUUUAUGUGGUAAAGCGAAUGAUUAGAGGCCUUGGGGUUGAAACAACCUUAACCUAUUCUCAAACUUUAAAUAUGUAAGAACAAGCCGUCACUUGAUUGGACCGCUUGGCGAUUGAGAGUUUCUAGUGGGCCAUUUUUGGUAAGCAGAACUGGCGAUGCGGGAUGAACCGAACGCGAGGUUAAGGUGCCGGAAUACACGCUCAUCAGACACCACAAAAGGUGUUAGUUCAUCUAGACAGCAGGACGGUGGCAUGGAAGUCGGAAUCCGCUAAGGAGUGUGUAACAACUCACCUGCCCGAAUGAACUAGCCCUGAAAAUUGGAUGGCGCUCAAGCGUGUUACCCAUACCUCGCCGUCAGUGUUAAGUGAUGCAUUGACGAGUAGGCAGGCGUGGAGGGUUGGUGAAGAAGCC
This 2044-nucleotide ribosomal RNA is filed under the name Gloeoporus taxicola. RNAcentral describes it as "eukaryotic LSU rRNA". The stretch from base 624 to 2044 matches the Rfam family "Eukaryotic large subunit ribosomal RNA", at positions 1 to 1410 of the family's 3401-position model. The record is from RNAcentral. Lineage: Eukaryota; Fungi; Basidiomycota; Agaricomycetes; Polyporales; Irpicaceae.